Bos taurus (domestic cattle) is the source of this 1027-nucleotide long non-coding RNA. The record is from Ensembl. NCBI's taxonomy places the organism in Eukaryota, Metazoa, Chordata, Mammalia, Artiodactyla, Bovidae.
GUGUGGUGCUUGGUUUCAGUGUCGGUAUGGAGGCAUUUGAUGAGCUCCUGUCAAUGAAUGUUCCUUGGAGUCAGGAGUUCCCUGGAGUCAGGGUUUGGACUUAAGUCUCCUGCUUCUGAUUAUUGGUCUUAUUUUUACAGUAGUUUCAAAACUUCUCCUUCUAUACAGCACCAUUGAUAAAACAUCUACAUUAAAGAUGAUAAGUUUCUCUACAGUGAGGGUCACUCAGAGAGGUUCACAGGGUUACAUGGAGAAGAGAAGAGGGAGGAGGGAGUUAGAGGUGACCCAAAUGAGAUGAGGUGAAUCAAUAGUGGAGAGAGUGGGCUAGCCAGUAGUCACUUCCUUAUGUGCACUCCACAACUCGACCACUCAGAGAUGUUCACGGGGUUAUACAGAGAAGAGAAGAAGGAGGAAGGUAACAGAGGUGGCCAGAAGGAUAAAAGGGGGGAAUGAAAAGGAGGGAGACAGAUCCAGCCAGUAAUCAGUUCCCUAAGUGUUCUCCACCGUCUGGAACACACAGAAAUUCACAGAGUUGGGUAGAGUAGAGAGGGGUUAGGGAGGAGACACAGGCGACCUGGUGGAGAAAAAGGAGGGUCCAAAGGGAGAGAGAGCAGUCAAGCCAGUAAUCUCACUCCCUAGUGAAAAAUGGGUCCUGAAGAUUGGGUCCUUAUAGGUACAAAAUUGGUAACAAAUACAUAAAAGCAAAAAUUAAAAAUCUAGAGUAGAGUUUGGAAUUUCAAAAAUACGAUGUUAAAGAAAAGAAGAAGGAAAAGAAAGAGAGAAAGAACGAACAAACAAAAACAAACAAGGUCGCGAAAAUUAUAAAGAAAGUACAAGUAUAAAAUUGAUAACUAAUACCAGAAAGCAAAAAUUAAAAAUCUAGAGUAGAUUUUGGAAUUUCAAAAAUACAAUGUUAAAAAAAAAAGAAGAAGAAAAAUAAAGAGAGAAAACAAACAAAUACGAACAAUGUCACAAAAAUUAUAAAGAAAAUACAGGUACAAAAUCGAUAUCAAAUACCAAAAAGCAU